Molecule: ribosomal RNA, 253 nt
Filed under: uncultured bacterium
Lineage: Bacteria
Description: partial 16S ribosomal RNA
Rfam family: Bacterial small subunit ribosomal RNA
Source: RNAcentral
UACGUAGGGUGCAAGCGUUAUUCGGAAUUACUGGGCGUAAAGCGUGCGCAGGCGGUUAAGUAAGACAGGCGUGAAAUCCCCGGGCUUAACCUGGGAACUGCAUUUGUGACUGCAUAGCUAGAGUACGGUAGAGGGGGAUGGAAUUCCGCGUGUAGCAGUGAAAUGCGUAGAUAUGCGGAGGAACACCGAUGGCGAAGGCAAUCCCCUGGACCUGUACUGACGCUCAUGCACGAAAGCGUGGGGAGCAAACAGG